UUAAAUUGAAGAGUUUGAUCAUGGCUCAGAUUGAACGCUGGCGGCAGGCCUAACACAUGCAAGUCGAACGGUAACAGGAAGCAGCUUGCUGCUUUGCUGACGAGUGGCGGACGGGUGAGUAAUGUCUGGGAAACUGCCUGAUGGAGGGGGAUAACUACUGGAAACGGUGGCUAAUACCGCAUAACGUCGCAAGACCAAAGAGGGGGACCUUCGGGCCUCUUGCCAUCAGAUGUGCCCAGAUGGGAUUAGCUUGUUGGUGAGGUAACGGCUCACCAAGGCGACGAUCCCUAGCUGGUCUGAGAGGAUGACCAGCCACACUGGAACUGAGACACGGUCCAGACUCCUACGGGAGGCAGCAGUGGGGAAUAUUGCACAAUGGGCGCAAGCCUGAUGCAGCCAUGCCGCGUGUAUGAAGAAGGCCUUCGGGUUGUAAAGUACUUUCAGCGGGGAGGAAGGUGUUGUGGUUAAUAACCGCAGCAAUUGACGUUACCCGCAGAAGAAGCACCGGCUAACUCCGUGCCAGCAGCCGCGGUAAUACGGAGGGUGCAAGCGUUAAUCGGAAUUACUGGGCGUAAAGCGCACGCAGGCGGUCUGUCAAGUCGGAUGUGAAAUCCCCGGGCUCAACCUGGGAACUGCAUUCGAAACUGGCAGGCUUGAGUCUUGUAGAGGGGGGUAGAAUUCCAGGUGUAGCGGUGAAAUGCGUAGAGAUCUGGAGGAAUACCGGUGGCGAAGGCGGCCCCCUGGACAAAGACUGACGCUCAGGUGCGAAAGCGUGGGGAGCAAACAGGAUUAGAUACCCUGGUAGUCCACGCCGUAAACGAUGUCUACUUGGAGGUUGUGCCCUUGAGGCGUGGCUUCCGGAGCUAACGCGUUAAGUAGACCGCCUGGGGAGUACGGCCGCAAGGUUAAAACUCAAAUGAAUUGACGGGGGCCCGCACAAGCGGUGGAGCAUGUGGUUUAAUUCGAUGCAACGCGAAGAACCUUACCUGGUCUUGACAUCCACAGAACUUUCCAGAGAUGGAUUGGUGCCUUCGGGAACUGUGAGACAGGUGCUGCAUGGCUGUCGUCAGCUCGUGUUGUGAAAUGUUGGGUUAAGUCCCGCAACGAGCGCAACCCUUAUCCUUUGUUGCCAGCGGUUAGGCCGGGAACUCAAAGGAGACUGCCAGUGAUAAACUGGAGGAAGGUGGGGAUGACGUCAAGUCAUCAUGGCCCUUACGACCAGGGCUACACACGUGCUACAAUGGCGCAUACAAAGAGAAGCGACCUCGCGAGAGCAAGCGGACCUCAUAAAGUGCGUCGUAGUCCGGAUUGGAGUCUGCAACUCGACUCCAUGAAGUCGGAAUCGCUAGUAAUCGUGGAUCAGAAUGCCACGGUGAAUACGUUCCCGGGCCUUGUACACACCGCCCGUCACACCAUGGGAGUGGGUUGCAAAAGAAGUAGGUAGCUUAACCUUCGGGAGGGCGCUUACCACUUUGUGAUUCAUGACUGGGGUGAAGUCGUAACAAGGUAACCGUAGGGGAACCUGCGGUUGGAUCACCUCCUUACCUUAAAGAAGC
RNAcentral lists this ribosomal RNA (1556 nucleotides) under Salmonella enterica subsp. enterica. RNAcentral describes it as "bacterial SSU rRNA". It matches the Rfam family "Bacterial small subunit ribosomal RNA". The record is from RNAcentral. Lineage: Bacteria; Pseudomonadati; Pseudomonadota; Gammaproteobacteria; Enterobacterales; Enterobacteriaceae.